AUUGAACGCUGGCGGCAGGCCUAACACAUGCAAGUCGAACGAGUGGCGGACGGGUGAGUAAUGUCUGGGAAACUGCCUGAUGGAGGGGGAUAACUACUGGAAACGGUAGCUAAUACCGCAUACCAUCAGAUGUGCCCAGAUGGGAUUAGCUAGGUGGUGUGGUAACGGCUCACCAAGGCUCCGAUCCCUAGCUGGUCUGAGAGGAUGACCAGCCACACUGGAACUGAGACACGGGCCUGACUCCUACGUGAGGCAGCAUGGGUGAAUAUUGCACAAUGGGCGCAAGCCGGAUGCAGCCAUGCCGCGUGUAUGAAGAAGGCCUUCGGGUUGUAAAGUACUUUCAGCGGGGAGGCGUUACCCGCAGAAGAAGCACCGGCUAACUCCGUGCCAGCCGCCGCGGUAAUAC
RNAcentral lists this ribosomal RNA (406 nucleotides) under uncultured bacterium. RNAcentral describes it as "partial 16S ribosomal RNA". It matches the Rfam family "Bacterial small subunit ribosomal RNA", at positions 30 to 526 of the family's 1533-position model. The record is from RNAcentral.